This 72-nucleotide transfer RNA is filed under the name Marmota monax (woodchuck). RNAcentral's name for it is "tRNA.Pro". It matches the Rfam family "tRNA". Rfam says of the family: Transfer RNA (tRNA) molecules are approximately 80 nucleotides in length. Their secondary structure includes four short double-helical elements and three loops (D, anti-codon, and T loops). Further hydrogen bonds mediate the characteristic L-shaped molecular structure. tRNAs have two regions of fundamental functional importance: the anti-codon, which is responsible for specific mRNA codon recognition, and the 3' end, to which the tRNAs corresponding amino acid is attached (by aminoacyl-tRNA synthetases). tRNAs cope with the degeneracy of the genetic code in two manners: having more than one tRNA (with a specific anti-codon) for a particular amino acid; and 'wobble' base-pairing, i.e. permitting non-standard base-pairing at the 3rd anti-codon position. The record is from RNAcentral. Lineage: Eukaryota; Metazoa; Chordata; Mammalia; Rodentia; Sciuridae.
AGGAUUGUGGCUCAGUGGUAGAGCACUUGCCUAGGACACAUGUGGCACUGGGUUCAAUCCCCAGCACUACAU